RNAcentral lists this ribosomal RNA (254 nucleotides) under uncultured bacterium. RNAcentral describes it as "partial 16S ribosomal RNA". It matches the Rfam family "Bacterial small subunit ribosomal RNA", at positions 524 to 776 of the family's 1533-position model. The record is from RNAcentral.
UACGUAGGGUGCGAGCGUUGUCCGGAAUUAUUGGGCGUAAAGAGCUUGUAGGUGGUUUGUCGCGUCUGCUGUGAAAAUCCGAGGCUCAACCUCGGACUUGCAGUGGGUACGGGCAGACUAGAGUGUGGUAGGGGAGACUGGAAUUCCUGGGUGUAGCGGUGGAAUGCGCAGAUAUCAGGAGGAACACCGAUGGCGAAGGCAGGUCUCUGGGCCAUUACUGACACUGAGAAGCGAAAGCAUGGGGAGCGAACAGG